AUUGAACGCUGGCGGCAGGCUUAACACAUGCAAGUCGAACGAGUGGCGGACGGGUGAGUAAUGCUUGGGAAUCUAGCUUAUGGAGGGGGAUAACUACUGGAAACUGUAGCUAAUACCGCGUACCAUCGGAUGUGCCCAAAUGGGAUUAGGUAGUUGGUGAGGUAAAGGCUCACCAAGCCGACGAUCCCUAGCUGGUCUGAGAGGAUGACCAGCCACACUGGGACUGAGACACGGCCCAGACUCCUACGGGAGGCAGCAGUGGGGAAUAUUGCACAAUGGGGGCAACCCUGACGCAGCCAUGCCGCGUGAAUGAAGAAGGCCUUCGGGUUGUAAAGUACUUUCGGCAGGGAGGCGUUAACCACAGAAGAAGCACCGGCUAACUCCGUGCCAGCAGCCGCGGUAAUAC
RNAcentral lists this ribosomal RNA (406 nucleotides) under uncultured bacterium. RNAcentral's name for it is "partial 16S ribosomal RNA". It matches the Rfam family "Bacterial small subunit ribosomal RNA", at positions 30 to 526 of the family's 1533-position model. The record is from RNAcentral.